Long non-coding RNA from Eutrema salsugineum, 983 nucleotides. RefSeq lists it as uncharacterized. The record is from RefSeq and is a predicted model, not a curated record. The transcript has 3 exons. Lineage: Eukaryota; Viridiplantae; Streptophyta; Magnoliopsida; Brassicales; Brassicaceae.
CCGAAAUCCAAUCAUGGCAUCAAAAGAUGUACAAGUAUUUUUCUGUGUUUCUUUUUAAUGCCAUAGGAAUAUUAUAGUUCUCUUCAGUUAAUUUUGUCUUUCUUAUCUAAUCGCAAAAGAGAAAACAUAUUUAUGGGAUCAGUGUGUUGAUGGAGCAGUCGAGUGGUAGUCACGGAUCCAGGGAAGAUGUGAACCCGGGAGAAUCAUGCAGUUAAUGGUAAGAAAAUAAAAGCGAUUUUUGGAACGACUCAAUGAAAACAUGAUGAAUACCUAUGAAGAUUGCAAGGGACAAGCUCUGAGAAUCCAAAUCGAGAUCAUCAAGUUGUUCCCAAGUCUAUUUGUCCAGCGUUCAGAAUGCAUGUUGGUGUAUUCGUUCAGGAUGCAGUUUCAUUAGUAAAUAGAUUGAAGAUUUUUUCAUUUUCAUCAGAGAACAAGUUUGCCGGCGGGUCCGAUGUAGUAUCUGUAAUAUCUAGAUAGUCCGAUAAGGUUUGGGUAGGGAACACCCCAUGCUCUGAUUUCCCCUGGUAAAACGUGCUUUGUUGUCUCUGGAAGCUGCAGCCAAUGUUAAUUCUUUGGAGACUAAACUAAAUAAAUGCAUCAUCUAACAUCUAUCUGCUUAAAUGGUCUAAGAAGAAGGGAAGACGUCGCUGAGAAAGGACAAAAGAGAAGUUCAUCCGGUUCUAAAUUACGGUGAAAAGGGAGAAGGAAAAUAAAGGAGGUAGUUGAUGCUGUCAAAGGGAAGUAGUGGAUAUGCUUCUGAAGGAUAAGCCUAAAGCAACAACAGAGUUUGCAUAGUGAACCAAAAAAAAUCAGUCUUAAGCUAGAUAGAGGAUUGAAAAUUAGUGAGCAUGGUUGAUGCAACCAAUAUUAAGAUUAAUGGUUGAUAAGCAUGGUUAAUGCAAGCAAUAUAAACUUUAAUUGUUUGCAUAUAACGUACAUGUUUUCUAUAAAUCAUGUAUUUUAAAGUUAGAUCAAAUUUUCUU